Molecule: non-coding RNA, 84 nt
Organism: Ceratotherium simum simum (southern white rhinoceros)
Lineage: Eukaryota; Metazoa; Chordata; Mammalia; Perissodactyla; Rhinocerotidae
Source: RefSeq, a predicted model, not a curated record
UUAAAGAGAUUGGUCUGCGAAGGCCUCCUUGAGAAGGUGACUUCUGAGCAAGUUCUGAAGGAUAGGAGGGAGGGAGUCAUGAGG